UUAUAGUUUAGUGGCGGACGGGUGAGUAACACGUGAGCAACCUGCCUUCGAGAGGGGAAUAACGGCUGGAAACGGUCGCUAAUACCGCAUAACAUACGGGAGGGACAUCCCUUUUGUAUCAAAGAUUUAUCGCUCGAAGAUGGGCUCGCGUCCGAUUAGGUAGUUGGUGAGGUAACGGCCCACCAAGCCGACGAUCGGUAGCCGGACUGAGAGGUUGAACGGCCACAUUGGGACUGAGACACGGCCCAGACUCCUACGGAAGGCAGCAG
RNAcentral lists this ribosomal RNA (269 nucleotides) under uncultured bacterium. RNAcentral's name for it is "partial 16S ribosomal RNA". It matches the Rfam family "Bacterial small subunit ribosomal RNA", at positions 85 to 354 of the family's 1533-position model. The record is from RNAcentral.